RNAcentral lists this ribosomal RNA (781 nucleotides) under Kluyveromyces marxianus. Its description in RNAcentral is "LSU rRNA". The stretch from base 93 to 781 matches the Rfam family "Eukaryotic large subunit ribosomal RNA", at positions 1 to 730 of the family's 3401-position model. The record is from RNAcentral. Lineage: Eukaryota; Fungi; Ascomycota; Saccharomycetes; Saccharomycetales; Saccharomycetaceae.
UGGGGUCAAUAGAGACUCAUAGGUGGUUAUAAAGACUCGCUGGUGUUUGUCUCCCUUGAGGCAUACGGCUUUAACCCAAACUCUCAAAAGUUGGACCUCAAAUCCAGGUAGGAGUACCCGCUGAACUUAAGCAUAUCAAUAAGCGGAGGAAAAGAAACCAACCGGGAUUGCCUUAGUAACGGCGAGUGAAGCGGCAAAAGCUCAAAUUUGAAAUCUGGCGUCUUCGACGUCCGAGUUGUAAUUUGAAGAAGGCGACUUUGUAGCUGGUCCUUGUCUAUGUUCCUUGGAACAGGACGUCAUAGAGGGUGAGAAUCCCGUGUGGCGAGGAUCCCAGUUAUUUGUAAAGUGCUUUCGACGAGUCGAGUUGUUUGGGAAUGCAGCUCUAAGUGGGUGGUAAAUUCCAUCUAAAGCUAAAUAUUGGCGAGAGACCGAUAGCGAACAAGUACAGUGAUGGAAAGAUGAAAAGAACUUUGAAAAGAGAGUGAAAAAGUACGUGAAAUUGUUGAAAGGGAAGGGCAUUUGAUCAGACAUGGCGUUUGCUUCGGCUUUCGCUGGGCCAGCAUCAGUUUUAGCGGUUGGAUAAAUCCUCGGGAAUGUGGCUCUGCUUCGGUAGAGUGUUAUAGCCCGUGGGAAUACAGCCAGCUGGGACUGAGGAUUGCGACUUUUGUCAAGGAUGCUGGCGUAAUGGUUAAAUGCCGCCCGUCUUGAAACACGGACCAAGGGAGUCUAACGUCUAUGCGAGUGUUUGGGUGUAAAACCCGUACGCGUAAUGAAAGUGAAC